This 469-nucleotide long non-coding RNA is filed under the name Nicotiana benthamiana. RNAcentral's name for it is "long non-coding RNA (NBEN_LNC033559)". The record is from RNAcentral. Lineage: Eukaryota; Viridiplantae; Streptophyta; Magnoliopsida; Solanales; Solanaceae.
AUAACUAAUAAUCUAAUUAAUGAUACCACUAAAGGAUUUAUACUGCUUAGCAGACAGCAAAACUGCUGUUACACUGUUCUGUGAGCUUUAAUUUCUUUGGCCCUCCAUUAUAGUAGAAAAUACCCAAAGAUAUUGGGGGACUAAAAAUCUGACUAGUGGCUUACCAAACACUAGACAGGGUUGAAUGGGAUUAAUGAUGGGUAUCGUGGACCAUGCCUUAACAGUGAAGGAUGUUCUAUUCGUCUGGGCCUUUAGAAGAUGGAAGAGAAGAAACGGAGCAUUGGAUUUUGCUCCAUUUACUGUUAUGUAGUUUGGAUAAAGAGAAAUAGGAGAGUUUUUGAAGGAAACGAACUUGGUUUUGUACAUUUGAAGAGUAGCAAUCUUUGAUUUCUUUUUGUGUUGACCGCAUUCUGGUUCUUCUGUUCUUCGAGGAAAGGAAUGAAGGUUUAUGCUUUACUGAUUUUACAGG